Molecule: long non-coding RNA, 409 nt
Organism: Odocoileus virginianus texanus
Lineage: Eukaryota; Metazoa; Chordata; Mammalia; Artiodactyla; Cervidae
Source: RefSeq, a predicted model, not a curated record
GCACAGGGCUGUGACCGCAUCCUCUUUCCAGGCUGAGUCGCUGUGGCGUCCCCAGCUCUUGACAUCAGGCGUGACUGUGAGCCCGGAAAGGUGCUGUCGGUUAAUAUCAUCUCUUUGAAGAAUGGAGACAUGACUCGUGGCAUGGAGAGUGGACCCCACCUGGGGAGGUGAUUCCGAUGCCCGGAAAGCACACUCUGCUGACUGGCACGCAGCUCACAGUCCCGGGAGGCAGUUAGCUCAGAGAUGGCAGUGAGGAGCAGAGAAGAGGAUCCUUGAACAAACAGACAUCUGCUUCCAUCUGCAGCCAGAGUUAGUUUGCAACGGUUGUGAUUUUUUUUGUUUGUUUCUUGUUUCCCUUCUAGCCUUAUUACAGUUUGAUUUGCAAAUAAAAGUUGUGUAUAUUUAAGCA